Molecule: ribosomal RNA, 357 nt
Filed under: Triticum aestivum (bread wheat)
Lineage: Eukaryota; Viridiplantae; Streptophyta; Magnoliopsida; Poales; Poaceae
Description: partial small subunit ribosomal RNA
Source: RNAcentral
AUGGAGAUCAAGCCAGCGGUGAUCCUUGUGGCCUGUUUGUUAUUCGGCAUCAGCAACAGAGGCAGUGCAGCAGGGUGCAGAACGUCAGAUAUUUUUGUCACCACAGAGGCCUACCCGGAUCCGGGAGGAAGGCUAGUGCAGUACGUGACACUGGUGAACAACUGCGCCAGGUGCACGCAGAAGAACGUAAAGCUGGCGUGCCCGGGGUUCAGCUCUUCCAUCGAGGUCUACCCGGACACUGCCAUCAAGCCGGAUGGCGACGGCAAGCUCUGCACCCUCUACGCCGGCCGCCCGGUUGGGCCUAAAGAGAAUGUCUUCUUCAACUACGUGCCCGUCUCCUCCACCAUUGUUUGUUAG